RNAcentral lists this transfer RNA (76 nucleotides) under Pedosphaera sp. RNAcentral's name for it is "tRNA-Ala". It matches the Rfam family "tRNA". Rfam says of the family: Transfer RNA (tRNA) molecules are approximately 80 nucleotides in length. Lineage: Bacteria; Pseudomonadati; Verrucomicrobiota; Pedosphaerae; Pedosphaerales; Pedosphaeraceae. RNAcentral also lists the same sequence under 3 other names. The record is from RNAcentral.
GGGGUCGUAGCUCAGUUGGUAGAGCACCACAAUGGCAUUGUGGGGGUCAUCAGUUCGAUUCUGUUCGGCUCCACCA